GAGCCCCGCAGGCCCGGCCCG
Molecule: microRNA, 21 nt
Filed under: Gallus gallus (chicken)
Lineage: Eukaryota; Metazoa; Chordata; Aves; Galliformes; Phasianidae
Description: gga-miR-12229-3p
Source: miRBase by way of RNAcentral